CCGAAUGGGGAAACCCAGUGUGAUUCGUCACACUAUCAUUAACUGAAUCCAUAGGUUAAUGAGGCGAACCGGGGGAACUGAAACAUCUAAGUACCCCGAGGAAAAGAAAUCAACCGAGAUUCCCCCAGUAGCGGCGAGCGAACGGGGAGCAGCCCAGAGCCUGAAUCAGUGUGUGUGUUAGUGGAAGCGUCUGGAAAGGCGUGCGAUACAGGGUGACAGCCCCGUACACAAAAAUGCACAUAUUGUGAGCUCGAUGAGUAGGGCGGGACACGUGGUAUCCUGUCUGAAUAUGGGGGGACCAUCCUCCAAGGCUAAAUACUCCUGACUGACCGAUAGUGAACCAGUACCGUGAGGGAAAGGCGAAAAGAACCCCGGCGAGGGGAGUGAAAAAGAACCUGAAACCGUGUACGUACAAGCAGUGGGAGCACGCUUAGGCGUGUGACUGCGUACCUUUUGUAUAAUGGGUCAGCGACUUAUAUUCUGUAGCAAGGUUAACCGAAUAGGGGAGCCGAAGGGAAACCGAGUCUUAACUGGGCGUUAAGUUG
This 545-nucleotide ribosomal RNA is filed under the name Shigella dysenteriae. Its description in RNAcentral is "partial 23S ribosomal RNA". It matches the Rfam family "Bacterial large subunit ribosomal RNA", at positions 114 to 702 of the family's 2925-position model. Lineage: Bacteria; Pseudomonadati; Pseudomonadota; Gammaproteobacteria; Enterobacterales; Enterobacteriaceae. The record is from RNAcentral.